This 87-nucleotide transfer RNA is filed under the name Candidatus Omnitrophota bacterium. RNAcentral describes it as "tRNA-Ser". It matches the Rfam family "tRNA". From Rfam's summary of the family: Transfer RNA (tRNA) molecules are approximately 80 nucleotides in length. Their secondary structure includes four short double-helical elements and three loops (D, anti-codon, and T loops). The record is from RNAcentral. Lineage: Bacteria; Pseudomonadati; Candidatus Omnitrophota.
GGAGAGGUGGCUGAGCGGUUGAAAGCGGCAGUCUUGAAAACUGCUGAGGCUUUCGGGCCUCCGUAGGUUCGAAUCCUACCCUCUCCG